RNAcentral lists this ribosomal RNA (253 nucleotides) under uncultured bacterium. RNAcentral describes it as "partial 16S ribosomal RNA". It matches the Rfam family "Bacterial small subunit ribosomal RNA", at positions 524 to 776 of the family's 1533-position model. The record is from RNAcentral.
UACGUAGGGGGCUAGCGUUGUCCGGAAUCAUUGGGCGUAAAGCGCGUGUAGGCGGUCCGGUAAGUCCGCUGUGAAAGUCGGGGGCUCAACCCUCGGAUGCCGGUGGAUACUGUCGGGCUCGAGUCCGGAAGAGGAGUGUGGAAUUCCUGGUGUAGCGGUGAAAUGCGCAGAUAUCAGGAGGAACACGAAUGGCGAAGGCAGCACUCUGGGACGUGACUGACGCUGAGACGCGAAAGCGUGGGGAGCAAACAGG